AUGUGUUUUUCAUGCAUUAUAGCGCCACCUUGUGGUGGAAGUGGUUCAAUUGUUACGCCUGAGGUCCUUGCGGAGUUUCGGACCAGUCCUGAAAAUGGCAACCCCCCCACCAUGUACGGUUUAGGCUGUAGUCGGAGUUUUAGGCGGAGAAGAAAAAUAAUGGAUGAUGAUGAUGAUGAUGAUGAUGAUUAAUCCUUACAAAAACAAUAGGGUUCCACAGCCCUGCUGUGCGAACGGCGUAGCUCUUGCUACCGCCGGUUCUUCCAGACUCGGGCUUGGACCCCUAAUUAG
Molecule: long non-coding RNA, 291 nt
Organism: Sander lucioperca (pikeperch)
Lineage: Eukaryota; Metazoa; Chordata; Actinopteri; Perciformes; Percidae
Exons: 3
Source: RefSeq, a predicted model, not a curated record